The sequence is a transfer RNA, 68 nucleotides long. It matches the Rfam family "tRNA". From Rfam's summary of the family: Transfer RNA (tRNA) molecules are approximately 80 nucleotides in length. Their secondary structure includes four short double-helical elements and three loops (D, anti-codon, and T loops). Further hydrogen bonds mediate the characteristic L-shaped molecular structure. tRNAs have two regions of fundamental functional importance: the anti-codon, which is responsible for specific mRNA codon recognition, and the 3' end, to which the tRNAs corresponding amino acid is attached (by aminoacyl-tRNA synthetases). tRNAs cope with the degeneracy of the genetic code in two manners: having more than one tRNA (with a specific anti-codon) for a particular amino acid; and 'wobble' base-pairing, i.e. permitting non-standard base-pairing at the 3rd anti-codon position.
UAUUAAGUGGCCGAAUAUUUAAGCACUAGAUUUUUAAUCUAGCUAAUGAUUUUUAUAAUCCUUAAUGG